GUGCUCACUUUGGCAGCACAUAUACUAAAAUUGGAAUGAUACAAAGAAGAUUAGCAUGGCUCCUGCACAAAGAUAACAUGCAAAUUCGUGAAGCAUUCCAUGUUUUU
RNAcentral lists this small nuclear RNA (107 nucleotides) under Dasypus novemcinctus (nine-banded armadillo). Lineage: Eukaryota; Metazoa; Chordata; Mammalia; Cingulata; Dasypodidae. The record is from RNAcentral.